This 74-nucleotide transfer RNA is filed under the name Oryzias latipes (Japanese medaka). RNAcentral describes it as "tRNA-Thr (TGT) (tRNA-Thr-TGT-3-1)". It matches the Rfam family "tRNA". Rfam says of the family: Transfer RNA (tRNA) molecules are approximately 80 nucleotides in length. Lineage: Eukaryota; Metazoa; Chordata; Actinopteri; Beloniformes; Adrianichthyidae. The record is from Rfam by way of RNAcentral.
GGCGCUGUGGCUUAGUUGGUUAAAGCGCCUGUCUUGUAAACAGGAGAUCCUGGGUCCAAAUCCCAGCAGUGCCU